Molecule: long non-coding RNA, 2240 nt
Organism: Musca domestica (house fly)
Lineage: Eukaryota; Metazoa; Arthropoda; Insecta; Diptera; Muscidae
Exons: 3
Source: RefSeq, a predicted model, not a curated record
AUAGUAUGCACAUACAACCAAAUUUGGCCUGAAAAAAAGUAUGCCAAAUUUUAUCGAGAUCGGUUCAGAUUUGGAUAUAUCUCCCAUAUAAAACUUCGAUCGAUUUACGUUUUAUUGUGCACCAAACGUCUAAUAUUUGUCCAAAUGGGAUGGGAUUUGAACUUACGAAUUGAGUCUAGAAGCUAGUAUAUCAAAUUUUGUGAAGAUCGGUUCAGAUAUAGGUAUAGCUCCCAUAUAUACUGUUCAUCCGAUUUAUUAUGUUUGUUACCAACAUGCAAGAGGAAUUAGUAAACGUUUAAAUAUGUAUAUAUGUACCGAAAUAUCUAUUAAUACAAACAGCAUUAGCAUUACCUGGAGGUUAAUGGCAGAUUUAAGGAGAAUAUAAAAUAUACACCUACUCCAGCCGAUGACUUAAUCCAGUCAAAAAACGUUUUAUGUAUUCCCACCUUAACUUCUGAAAAAUAUGUAUUUCUGUUGUCUCUAAAUUUGAAAUAAUUUCGAUUUUUUUUUGUUUUUAAUUCAAAAGAAUACACACAUCUACGAACUGUGUAUAUACGCAACAACAACCACAUGCAAAUUUGUUUUUGUACGUAAUAAACGUGUAAUGCAAGCCACACACGAUACAACUGGUUGUACAACUUGGAGAGGACUAACAAGGUUGAAAAAUGUAUUGAUACAUUUCAAAGUUCGCGCGUGACAACAAGUAUAAAGAAAAAAGAUAAACUUAAAAACUGAAGAGAAACUAAUAUUUGUCGUGCAAAAAACAAAAAGAGAAAAUAUGGAGGAGUGAAGAGGACUGGCUGAAUGUGGAAUCAGACGAAGAAACCGUAUUGGAAAACAGUGCAAAAUUAGUGAAAGGUUGGCUGUCUUCCCAACUUGUGGCAUUAAGUCUUCUAGCAGACUUAACAUUAAUUUAACCGGCGCCUCCAACCAUGUCAGCUUCUCGGGGGUUGGGAUUUGAGAAAACUCCACCUCUAAAUACUCUUCAACGCAUUCUGAAAACGAAACUUUCUAAAUAAACAGCAUUCAGAAAUAAUUAUUAAUUUUAACUUAUUUUCAAUACUCAUUUUUUUUUAAUUUCGGCGUCCAUUUCAGUAAGGUUUCACCAGUCCGAUUUAGACUGUUUUCUUUUGGAAUUUUGAAUGUUGACAUUUUAUCAUACCAGACCUUGGGUUAAUAAAAAUAUUGUGAUAUGUGCACUUUGAAGACAAUCGGGCGCUUACAUCAGAUUUUAUAAGAGAUAUAAGUAUUCAAAAUGUUUGACCCUUUGUGGGGGAGGUACUUGAUGGAGUGAACCAAUAUUGUCCUAUUGAACUGAUACCAUUAUUUGGAUUUGCAAAGUUGGAACAAAAUCGGAUUAUCCCUUUUCUCUCUCUGCAGUAAAAUAUUUUCUUUAAAAUUUUCGACCUUUUGUGGGGGAGAUACCGAUAUUGCCCAUCUCCGAGCACAAUCUAAGUUUGAUAAUAAUAUUACCAUCUACCAAGUUUGUACCUAAUCGGAUACUCCCUUCUAGAGUUAUCGGGCGCACAUUUUGAGAUGAAAAAACUGCAACCAACUUGAGACUGCUGUCAUUUUAAGACACUAAGACACUUGUCCGACAGCUGUUAACAUUAUUCCAGAGACAGUUCAUUAUAUUGUUUACAAGCGUACAGAAGCAUUUUGGUGAGAAUUUUCCAGAAAAAAAGUUAUUCGUUAUGUAAUUCAAGCGUGAUAGUGUGAUUUCUUUAUAUUUGGCAGGAAAACCACAAGUGGCUAUCGUUAGAGCACUCCAGCAUUUAAAUGUCAAUAAAUCUUUGGUGUCUCGUACCACCGCUCGUUACCGUGAUACAGGUACCAGCAUCUGCAGAAAUGGUUCGAAAAAUAAAGGAGCGACUUAAUCGAAACCCGCAUCGCAGUGGCCGAAAAAUGGCUCGUGACCUGAACAUAUCGCCAUAUUCCAUUCGGCAAAUAUUGAAAAAUGAGCUCGAAAUAAAGCCACUAAAAUUCCAAAAAGUGCAAGAACUUACACCGCAACAGAAAGAAAAUAGACUCAAAAGAGCUAAAGAGUUGCUUCGCUUGGCCGAAAGUGGUGAACUGCCGAAUUUGGUUUUCUCCGAUGAGAAAACAUUCGUUGUCCAAUAGUUUGUAAACAAGCUAAAUGAUUACUUGCCAAAGAGGUCAGCUGAAAAUGUGAACCUUCAGUUGACCACCAGAACUCAAGCGCGGCCAUGGUGAUGGUGUGGGCCGCCAUAACAGCCGAU